Molecule: RNA transcript, 2463 nt
Organism: Athene cunicularia (burrowing owl)
Lineage: Eukaryota; Metazoa; Chordata; Aves; Strigiformes; Strigidae
Gene name: ankyrin repeat domain-containing protein 7-like
Exons: 8
Source: RefSeq, a predicted model, not a curated record
CGCCGUUGCUAGGGCGCCCCUUGCCGGCGGCAGUCCCUCAGUGUGGUCGCCGCCGCGGCGGGAGCAGUGUUGGGGGGCUGUGAGGCUCGGCCGCCGCUCGGAGUUUGCUUCUCGGCCCUUCUCGCCUUCUCCCUUUCCCCCUCCCCGCCUGGGGCUCGGCACAGCCCGCCGGGCGCCUCCUGGACUCGGGGCGGACCGUGUCCCCGUCCCAGCAUGCAGAGGUUCAUCACGCUCCUCAGGAGCCUGCGGGAGCGGCUGCGGCCCAGCAGCGCCUCCGCUCCCUGCGCCCCCGGGGCCCCCGAGCUCCGGGAGGAGGGCCGCGGCGGGCUGUACAGCGCGGCAGCCAGCGGCGACCUGACCCCACAGCGGCGGCGCUGGUGGCGGAGGAGGCUCCGCAUCAAGGAGCGAGACGCGAAGCCGCAGAUGCCUCUGCACCUUGCUUGUGCGAACAACCAUGCAGAUGUUCGAUUUCUAGCAGGAAGGGAGCGCCACCUAAACCCUUGUGACAAUUUUCAGAAAACACCACUGACGGAGGCAGUAGAGGACCCGCACAAAGACUGUGUGGCUGUUUUACUGGAGCACGGUGCCAGCCCUGACCUCAAAGGUGCUGGCGGCAACACUGCCCUUCACCUAGCUGUUGCCAUUCCUAGCAAACCUUUAGCAGAGCUGUUACUCGAGCACAAGGCCCAUAUCAAUGCUCAGAAUGAGCUGGGAUACACUCCGCUUACUCUUGCGAUCACCAAGCACUGUGAAGAGAUGGUCGAGUUCCUUCUUCAAAAAGGAGCUGACGUACACGUUCGAGAUAAGGAUAGAAGGACCCCUCUUAUGGCAGCUGCUGCUGCUGGGGAUAUGAAUGUAAUACAACUUCUUCUUCGGCAUGGUGCUGAUCUUUCUCAUGAAGACCCAUCUGGCCACACAGCUGUGUAUUAUGCCAGGGUGUCUCAACAUGCCAAUAUUGCUAACCAACUGGAGGAAUAUGUGCACUGUGAAAGGAUGGGAGAAUGUUCUGCAGGAGACAGAGAAGGCCCAGCAGCACUUGACACCUCUUGCUCUGGGAGGACUGCUGACUUACUGUUGGGCACAGCUUCAUUGACUGGAGAAGGUGUCUUGCCAGCUGUAGGAGCAGAGCAAGAGAAAGAUGUUGAUUCCUCGUGGGAUUUUGAGGUACCUUCCCUGAAGGAGGCAGUGGGGCCUCGCUCGGCUCACUCCCUUUUGGGCUCGUUUCACUCUGCUACUGCUUCAGCCACCCGCUCGUAACUGGGAUCUUGACAUGCUGCUGCUGCAGGCAAUAUGUUCAGUGAGGUCGAGCUAAUGACCUGGCUCUCCUAGCAGCUGGCCUCUGAGCUGGAUUUCUAAUACAGGAUUGAAGCGGUAAAGCUUCCCACCAGUUACAAUCCCCUGAAAUCCUAGAAGGCUGCAACUGUGAGGAUUGCUGGUUUUUCACCACACAGCUCUCUUCUUUGGAUCCAGCCAAUGUCAACUGGUUACCCAUAGGGCUUAUAGUCUACAUACUUGGCUGCUUCUGCUUCGGUCCUCUCUAUCAUGGGCAGCUGUACUUCAUCCUCUUUUGAAAGCCCAGUUCAACAGAGAUGCCUAACAUGCUGGCUCUUUUUGCCCUUUUCAUUCUUUCAGUCACCUGUUACCAUGUUAUGCAUGUUGGCUGAAGCAGGAGUUUUGUACGUGAAAACGGGUGGAGAAGUAGUCUAUGCCAGUUCUCACACAAGUCUUUUAAAUUACACAGACGGAUUCUGAAGAUCCAGGGAAAGCAUUGACCAGCCUGCCCAACAAGGAUGCUUCAACUCAUACAGAUUUUUGCCACAACGGACAGAAAUUGAUCCGUCAGCUGCAGCAGGAGCUUGCUGAAACCACCAAGAACUUCCUAGCAGAAGUUUCACUCAAAGCUAAGAAGCGUCACACCAGGGAUCCUCAGGAACAGAAACUGCAGUUGCAGAAGGAAUUUGACAGGUCUAAAGCUAAGGUAUGGAGAAAGCCUGUCUCUUGGCAGGGGCCCAGGCCUUUUCUGUAGCAAAGCAGAGCAGGGAACUGACACUUUCUUAGGGGUUUUCUGUAACCCAGGGUGGUUCAGUGUGCAGCUAGUUGUAAUGAGGGAGCUGGGAGGGAACAGCCCUGCUGCCUUUGGUGCCUGUCUGUUUGCACCACUUGAAGUAACAGUGGAGGGCGGUGCUAAGGUGGUCUCAGUAUACUAGACAACUUUGCAACAGGAGUAGAUCGAGUGACAUGGAAGUAACUCGCUUUGUUUUAUAAGACUGAUGCCCAUGAUUAGAAAGAUCACUAACCAUGAAGUCACUUUGUCCUUAUUUAGAGAAGGGUGUGUGUAUUCCUUUCCAAAAACUGCUUCUCAGGUUUCACAGAGCCCCUGUGUUUGCUGCUGCUUUUGGGUUUGGUUAAAGCCAAAUGUGUGCUGACAGGCAUGCUGGAGUGUUUCUGGGUGUGUUGUAGUCC